Cyprinus carpio carpio is the source of this 1181-nucleotide long non-coding RNA. Lineage: Eukaryota; Metazoa; Chordata; Actinopteri; Cypriniformes; Cyprinidae. The record is from Ensembl.
GCUUCCUUUUUUAUUAUUAUGCCCAUAUUUGGACUGUGCUUCCUCCCCUGCUAAUGUGAUUUAAUCUGUUUAUUAGAACUCGUUACCAUGCACCACCUUUCUGCCCAUAUUUGGGCGAUACUUCCUGUCGUUGAGUUACCUUAUUAUUGCCUCUGCCUUGCUGCUGAUGAUUUGAAAUUGGCGAUUAAUUGUUAACAGCUGGCCAUGCUUUGGUGGAAGGAGAUAAAAUCUGGUUCUUUAGGAGAGAGGGUGUGCCUGGUGGUGGUUGAUCUGCUGCCAUUGUGUCAAAGGACUCUCCCGUUCAGCAAAUGAAGCCCAGGUUCCUAGGCCUCUCUGUUUGAACACCGGUGUACUGCAGCUGGAUUUCAUUCAACGCUCUCUAAUGUUUCCUGAAGGCCUUGGCAAUAUCCAUCCUGUGGUUCCAGUGUCUGGUGCUGUCUUGAAGAUUGUGGCUAUCCUCGAACCUUCCUCAACGCUCGCUAAUGUUGCCUGAAGGGCCGUAACUAUAUUUUAUCACAUUGCAGUGUGUGUGUGUGACCUCUGCUAUCUGUGACGUUGGUGGUCAUUUUUGGUGCUCUUUUCUAGCCUCUGGCUGAUCCAUUUUGGGGUUCUGGGCCCAGUGCUGCUGUGAAGACUGCCUUGGUUAUGCUGGAAUCUUCGUCAACGCUUGCUGUUUGCUGCCUGGAGUACUGUAGCGUUCUCCUGUGGGUCUGAUGACUGCUGUGAUCCUUUGGACGUGUCCGUUAAACUGUAGAGGGAGGACCACUGUCGCGAACUACCUAGAAGCCUCCAGUCACUGAACCUUAAACUCUUCAAAGUGUUUUAGAGACUUGAUCUUAGAGGACUUUCCUUUACAUAUUAGUAUUUAUUAGUUAGUGCUUGUUGGCCCAUUAAUAAAGUGUGUAUUUUGUAUUUCAACCUUUGACUGUCUGUUGGGUUUCUGUGGCUGGGACCUGAGUCAAUUAUUUAAUGUUGGUCACUAGGUGACACAUACACUCAUCAGGUUAUACGCUGAAGAGCCGAGAACCUGUCCCUGGCAACCAGUGAUAGUUUGAGGUUUUGGCAUGGGGACAUAAUGUCUCCGUUCCCUCCAUCAGGGAACAAGGAUUACGAAUGCAACCAGUGAUAGUUUGAGGUUUUGGCAUGGAGACAUAAUGUCUCCAUUCCCUCCAUCAGGGAAC